UACGAAGGGGGCUAGCGUUGUUCGGAAUUACUGGGCGUAAAGCGCACGUAGGCGGAUAUUUAAGUCAGGGGUGAAAUCCCAGAGCUCAACUCUGGAACUGCCUUUGAUACUGGGCAUCUCGAGUAUGGAAGAGGUGAGUGGAAUUCCGAGUGUAGAGGUGAAAUUCGUAGAUAUUCGGAGGAACACCAGUGGCGAAGGCGGCUCACUGGUCCAUUACUGACGCUGAGGUGCGAAAGCGUGGGGAGCAAACAGG
Molecule: ribosomal RNA, 253 nt
Filed under: uncultured bacterium
Lineage: Bacteria
Description: partial 16S ribosomal RNA
Rfam family: Bacterial small subunit ribosomal RNA
Source: RNAcentral